AGGAAUAUUGGUCAAUGGGCGAGAGCCUGAACCAGCCAAGUAGCGUGAAGGAUGACUGCCCUAUGGGUUGUAAACUUCUUUUAUAAAGGAAUAAAGUCGGGUAUGUAUACCCGUUUGCAUGUACUUUAUGAAUAAGGAUCGGCUAACUCCGUGCCAGCAGCCGCGGUAAUACGGAGGAUCCGAGCGUUAUCCGGAUUUAUUGGGUUUAAAGGGAGCGUAGAUGGAUGUUUAAGUCAGUUGUGAAAGUUUGCGGCUCAACCGUAAAAUUGCAGUUGAUACUGGAUAUCUUGAGUGCAGUUGAGGCAGGCGGAAUUCGUGGUGUAGCGGUGAAAUGCUUAGAUAUCACGAAGAACUCCGAUUGCGAAGGCAGCCUGCUAAGCUGCAACUGACAUUGAGGCUCGAAAGUGUGGGUAUCAAACAGGAUUAGAUACCCUGGUAGUCCACACGGUAAACGAUGAAUACUCGCUGUUUGCGAUAUACGGCAAGCGGCCAAGCGAAAGCGUUAAGUAUUCCACCUGGGGAGUACGCCGGCAACGGUGAAACUCAAAGGAAUUGACGGGGGCCCGCACAAGCGGAGGAACAUGUGGUUUAAUUCGAUGAUACGCGAGGAACCUUACCCGGGCUUAAAUUGCAGAUGAAUUACGGUGAAAGCCGUAAGCCGCAAGGCAUCUGUGAAGGUGCUGCAUGGUUGUCGUCAGCUCGUGCCGUGAGGUGUCGGCUUAAGUGCCGUAACGAGCGCAACCCUUGUUGUCAGUUACUAACAGGUUUUGCUGAGGACUCUGACAAGACUGCCAUCGUAAGAUGUGAGGAAGGUGGGGAUGACGUCAAAUCAGCACGGCCCUUACGUCCGGGGCUACACACGUGUUACAAUGGGGGGUACAGAGGGCCGCUACCACGCGAGUGGAUGCCAAUCCCCAAAACCUCUCUCAGUUCGGACUGGAGUCUGCAACCCGACUCCACGAAGCUGGAUUCGCUAGUAAUCGCGCAUCAGCCACGGCGCGGUGAAUACGUUCCCG
RNAcentral lists this ribosomal RNA (1016 nucleotides) under uncultured bacterium. RNAcentral describes it as "bacterial SSU rRNA". It matches the Rfam family "Bacterial small subunit ribosomal RNA", at positions 357 to 1376 of the family's 1533-position model. The record is from RNAcentral.